Microtus oregoni (creeping vole) is the source of this 361-nucleotide long non-coding RNA. RefSeq lists it as uncharacterized. The record is from RefSeq and is a predicted model, not a curated record. The transcript is spliced from 4 exons. NCBI's taxonomy places the organism in Eukaryota, Metazoa, Chordata, Mammalia, Rodentia, Cricetidae.
AAGAAGCUGACAUGAGCCCUUGUUUCCAGUAUGUGAGUCAUCAUUGCCACCAAUGGUCUGGGUCGUUGGCUGUGCACACACAUCCACAGACAGUACAACAACAGCCUCUAGUCCCUUGUUGCUGACCUUUGGGAAGCUGGGCAUGUAAGGCCAUACAUGAUCUACAGUGUACUUGUAGAGGUCAGAGGACAACUUGCAGGAGUCAUUUCUCUGCUUCCACAAUGUGAGUCCUGGGGAUCCAACUGAAGUCAUCAGAAGCAGUACUCGGGCUUCUAUUACACUUUAAUACGAUCUACAUAUAAGAACAGGGGAGAAAACAGUGAACUUUCCAUGCAGAACCAACUCCUGGAGAAGAACCAAG